CCUCCUCCCACACAACUCCAGACAAGCAAUUGAUUGUUCUAUUCCAGCAAGUAUGAUGAUGGGUGGAAGAUCAAUUGUUAAUAGUAGAAAGAUUGCUUGGAUUUCUCUCAAGUGUAACAGACAAAAUGGGUCAUAUGAGUGCGGAUACUUGUAAUGUAUUGGAUGGCCCAUAUUGUUCGUUCUCACAUACAAGUCGCUGGGAAACGGUAAUAUUUAACUUUAACAAAUUUUGAUUUUUUCCCAAAUGUUGAAUUCAUAUACACUAAUUAAUAUGAAUUGUCUUUUGCAGAGAUUCAAGACUACUACACCAGUUCCUGAGAAGUCACUAUUAUUCAUUAGGAACGCUGCUGCGAAGUAUAUAAUUAGAUUAUACAAUAGCUCUUAGAUUUAAACAUUGCAUUUGAUUAGAUUGAAUUUUCUUAGACUUUGUACUUUAUUUGAUGUUGAAAUACAUUUGAACAUGUGUUUGUUAUGUUCAAAUUGAAUU
Vigna umbellata (rice bean) is the source of this 487-nucleotide non-coding RNA. The record is from RefSeq and is a predicted model, not a curated record. NCBI's taxonomy places the organism in Eukaryota, Viridiplantae, Streptophyta, Magnoliopsida, Fabales, Fabaceae.